UCUCAAAGUUGUUUCUACCUAGUUGUA
Molecule: small RNA, 27 nt
Filed under: Bombyx mori (domestic silkworm)
Lineage: Eukaryota; Metazoa; Arthropoda; Insecta; Lepidoptera; Bombycidae
Description: ovarian small RNA-29559
Source: RNAcentral